Molecule: small RNA, 909 nt
Filed under: Pongo abelii (Sumatran orangutan)
Lineage: Eukaryota; Metazoa; Chordata; Mammalia; Primates; Hominidae
Description: processed transcript
Source: RNAcentral
AUGCUGAAAUAACCAUACUAGUUAACAUAGUUGUUUUUAAAUUUUGCAAUAUCAUUGCAUGGCUUCAUCUUUUAAAUUUCUGCAAGGUUUCAAUAUAUCUAUUUCUUCUUUUUUUGAGAGGCAAAUGAAUAAUUCUGGAAGGGUAAAAACACAUGAGUCUACUAAAUACAUAAAUGAAUACAAUGUAUACUUUAGGAAAGUAGAUUUUUAAACAAGGUCAUAUUUUUAAAUUUCUCCUUAUGUUUAGGUCUAUUACAAUGGCUACCAUGGAGACACCUCUGAAACAUUUUUGGUGGGCAAUGUGGACGAAUGUGGUAAAAAGUUAGUGGAGGUUGCCAGGAGGUGUAGAGAUGAAGCAAUUGCAGCUUGCAGAGCAGGGGCUCCCUUCUCUGUAAUUGGAAACACAAUCAGCCACAUAACUCAUCAGAAUGGUUUGCAAGUCUGUCCACAUUUUGUGGGACAUGGAAUAGGAUCUUACUUUCAUGGACAUCCAGAAAUUUGGCAUCAUGCAAAUGACAAUGAUCUACCCAUGGAGGAGGGCAUGGCAUUCACUAUAGAGCCAAUCAUCACGGAGGGAUCCCCUGAAUUUAAAGUCCUGGAGGAUGCAUGGACUGUGGUCUCCCUAGACAAUCAAAGGUGUUUGCUUUCUGCUCUGUUGCUUUUAAAUUGUAUGGGAAAGGAAGAUUGGUCCGACGGCGCGCUUGCGGCCCGGCCGGAGCUUGCGUGCGCGUUCUGACGGCUGGGUGCUGUGUUACAGGUCGGCCCAGUUCGAGCACACGGUUCUCAUCACGUCGAGGGGCGCGCAGAUCCUGACCAAACUGCCCCAUGAGGCCUGAGGAGCCGCCCGAAGGUCGCGGUGACCGGGUGCCUUUUUAAAUAAAUUGCUGAAAUUUGGCUGGAGAACUUUUA